UGGUUCUGGCAUNGAUGAAGAACGCAGCGAAAUGCGAUAAGUAAUGUGAAUUGCAGAAUUCAGUGAAUCAUCGAAUCUUUGAACGCAUAUUGCGCCCGCUAGAAUUCUAGCGGGCAUGCCUGUUCGAGCGUCAUUUCACCCCUCAAGCUCUCUGUAGGCUUGUUGUUGAGGCACCUGUGGCACAGCGCCUAUGGGCCUUGAAAAUCAGUGGCGAGCCCGCCGGGUUUUUGAGCGCAGUAACUUAACCUCGCUCGGGAAGCCUGGAGGGUUUUCAGCCGUUAAACACCCACUGUAUUUGAAGUUUGACCUCGGAUCAGGUAGGAAUACCCGCUGA
This 334-nucleotide unclassified non-coding RNA is filed under the name uncultured fungus. RNAcentral describes it as "partial contains 5.8S ribosomal RNA and internal transcribed spacer 2". The stretch from base 1 to 133 matches the Rfam family "5.8S ribosomal RNA", at positions 22 to 154 of the family's 154-position model. The record is from RNAcentral. Lineage: Eukaryota; Fungi.